This is a long non-coding RNA of Triticum aestivum (bread wheat), 760 nucleotides long. RefSeq lists it as uncharacterized. Lineage: Eukaryota; Viridiplantae; Streptophyta; Magnoliopsida; Poales; Poaceae. The transcript has 3 exons. The record is from RefSeq and is a predicted model, not a curated record.
AUGAUGCGGAAACGCAUCAUCAUGUUAGACCCAGCAGUUGGACCUUUUGGUUAUAGCAAUCGGCGGGUCAGCAUGCAUGAGUUUGUAAGCAACAAACUUCAUGCUGCCCUGUUUAACUGUCUACAUAAUUUCUUCAGCUCUUGGCAUUGCGACUUCACUAACUGGGGUCGCACAUUUCCUAUCAUAAUGCGGGAAAAAAAUAAACAAAGAUGAAACUGGCUUGGGCGCUACAUUCUUUGCAAGGAAUUACGACGGUGACAGGCUACAAAUCCCAUUGACCAAAGAUACAUUGGAAUCACACGGCAACCUCAUGCUUUACGAGCUGAUGCGGAUGCAAGGGAACCAAACAAAGGCGGCACACGAUUCACUCAAAGCAAUCAAAGGAACGUUCCUUGUUCUGUAGGGCAGUUCGGAGGACGAGCAGAUGUUAAAACGAGCAACAAAUCAUGUUACCAUUUCCUCUUUGCUCAAGGACACCUCUGUGACACAUUUGUACUGCAUGAGAAUUUGAGCAUUACACUAUUUCAUCUCACGUAGCUAGAUAAACCAUCACAAAACUCAUCACAAACUGAUGAGUUUUGCUGCGUGGUUGCUUCCAACUAAUCUGCAUCUACAUGCAGAACACCUUGUACACAAGUGCUAGCAGAAGAAUGCACACAGCAACAUUCAUCACAUAUCCACCGCGGUGGCUGCCAAGGUUUGGCUCUGGGACUUGCUGUGCAACCUCCUGCCUGCUUUCUUCGAGAUGUUGCAUCGCCCU